RNAcentral lists this ribosomal RNA (505 nucleotides) under uncultured bacterium. RNAcentral describes it as "partial 16S ribosomal RNA". It matches the Rfam family "Bacterial small subunit ribosomal RNA", at positions 28 to 507 of the family's 1533-position model. The record is from RNAcentral.
GACGAACGCUGGCGGCGUGCCUAAUGCAUGCAAGUAGAACGCACAGUUUAUACCGUAGCUUGCUACACCAUAGACUGUGAGUUGCGAACGGGUGAGUAACGCGUAGGUAACCUGCCUGGUAGCGGGGGAUAACUAUUGGAAACGAUAGCUAAUACCGCAUAAUAUUAAUUAUUGCAUGAUAAUUAAUUGAAAGGUGCAAUUGCACCACUACCAGAUGGACCUGCGUUGUAUUAGCUAGUAGGUGAGGUAACGGCUCACCUAGGCGACGAUACAUAGCCGACCUGAGAGGGUGAUCGGCCACACUGGGACUGAGACACGGCCCAGACUCCUACGGGAGGCAGCAGUAGGGAAUCUUCGGCAAUGGACGAAAGUCUGACCGAGCAACGCCGCGUGAGUGAAGAAGGUUUUCGGAUCGUAAAGCUCUGCUGUAAGAGAAGAACGGGUGUGAGAGUGGAAAGUUCACACUGUGACGGUAUCUUACCAGAAAGGGACGGCUAACUACGUG